Molecule: ribosomal RNA, 503 nt
Filed under: uncultured bacterium
Lineage: Bacteria
Description: partial 16S ribosomal RNA
Rfam family: Bacterial small subunit ribosomal RNA
Source: RNAcentral
AUUGAACGCUGGCGGCAGGCUUAACACAUGCAAGUCGAGCGGGGUGAUGGUGCUUGCACUAUCACUUAGCGGCGGACGGGUGAGUAAUGCUUAGGAAUCUGCCUAUUAGUGGGGGACAACAUCUCGAAAGGGAUGCUAAUACCGCAUACGUCCUACGGGAGAAAGCAGGGGAUCACUUGUGACUUUGGGCUACUAGAUGAGCCUAGGUCGGAUUAGCUAGUGGGUGGGGUAAAGGCCUACCAAGGCGACGAUCUGUAGCGGGUCUGAGAGGAUGAUCCGCCACACUGGGACUGAGACACGGCCCAGACUCCUACGGGAGGCAGCAGUGGGGAAUAUUGGACAAUGGGGGGAACCCUGAUCCAGCCAUGCCGCGUGUGUGAAGAAGGCCUUAUGGUUGUAAAGCACUUUAAGCGAGGAGGAGGCUCUUUUGGUUAAUACCCAAGAUGAGUGGACGUUACUCGCAGAAUAAGCACCGGCUAACUCUGUGCCAGCCGCCGCGGUAA